Molecule: transfer RNA, 71 nt
Filed under: Desmophyllum pertusum
Lineage: Eukaryota; Metazoa; Cnidaria; Anthozoa; Scleractinia; Caryophylliidae
Description: tRNA-Thr
Rfam family: tRNA
About the family: Transfer RNA (tRNA) molecules are approximately 80 nucleotides in length. Their secondary structure includes four short double-helical elements and three loops (D, anti-codon, and T loops). Further hydrogen bonds mediate the characteristic L-shaped molecular structure. tRNAs have two regions of fundamental functional importance: the anti-codon, which is responsible for specific mRNA codon recognition, and the 3' end, to which the tRNAs corresponding amino acid is attached (by aminoacyl-tRNA synthetases). tRNAs cope with the degeneracy of the genetic code in two manners: having more than one tRNA (with a specific anti-codon) for a particular amino acid; and 'wobble' base-pairing, i.e. permitting non-standard base-pairing at the 3rd anti-codon position.
Source: RNAcentral
ACCCUGUAGCUCAGUGGUAGAGCGUCCGACCGGUGUGUGGAAGGUCAUAGAUUCGACUCCUGUUAGGACCG